AGGACGCCAAACCAGACGGGAGAGUGAGACGGCCAUUUUUGGUUUUUGGGUAGCUCUUGGCUCAUUUUGAGUUUGCUUAUAUGAAUUUCAUUAUUUUUCGUAUGAUAUGAAAUGAAAUGAAUAGAAUAGUGACGCCGGCAUUGUGUAAUGGGCACAGGUAAUGGCGAGAGAUAGGUGUUUUAAAGUGGAAAUGAAUAGAUGUUAAAUCUGCAGACAUAAUAUUCUUAUUCCUUCUAAAAGAUGAAUCUAUAAUCAAACCAUUGCAUUUUUAUUUGACCACAAUGUAAAUGUAUCGUCGACAACUGAAAUUGGACCAGUAGCGUGGCCACCCAGAUCACCAAAACUGAUUUUUUUGGGCGUACGUUAAGAAUGAAGUUUAUAAAAUGCCUCCAACAACAAGGGAUGAGAUGAAAAAUAGAAUACAAAGUGUACUUCGAAGUGUUAAUUUACAAAUGCUUCAUAGUGCAAAAGCAGCAGCCAUGUUCAAAUCACAGUGUCUGACUAAUGGAUUUUUGAUUAUCACGGAAUGCACUCAUGAAGUUUAGUUUGCUGGUUACCACAAGAGAUUUUCCACUGAAGGUGCAAUUCUGAACCUUCUUUAUUGAUUCAUAAUAAUAAUACGCUAAUAUAUUGGAUCUGCAUAAACAGGAAAAAGAGACAAUGUCAAAUAGCAUUCAAAAUCUUGAUCUAAUCUAUAAAUGUAAUAAUAUACUGUCUUGUUAAUAUUAAAUGUUGUUUGUAA
Diabrotica virgifera virgifera (western corn rootworm) is the source of this 742-nucleotide long non-coding RNA. RefSeq lists it as uncharacterized. The transcript is spliced from 3 exons. The record is from RefSeq and is a predicted model, not a curated record. Lineage: Eukaryota; Metazoa; Arthropoda; Insecta; Coleoptera; Chrysomelidae.